AAACUAUUUAAAAGUUAAUUUUAAACAAUUUUACCAAUAAUUAAUUAAUUAUUUGUAUAGUAAUUUACAAGUUAGAAAAUACAUUUUCAAGUCAAAAAGCUAAAAGUUAGUAGCCAAUCCACACACCCUCUUUGUUCCCUCUGUUUUUCCCCUUCUCAUGGUUGGUAUAGGCAUAUGUAUAAAAACAAUCAAAAUGCAUAUAUGAUCCUUAGCAGAUACAGUGUUUGCAUUUACCUCAAUUUUUAAAUGCUAGGUAAAUUUGUGAAAAUAAAAUAAAAUGAAACAAAACAAGAAUUUUAGGUCUCAAGCUUUAAUCUUUCGGAUUCCCCAGAAA
RNAcentral lists this unclassified non-coding RNA (334 nucleotides) under Hevea brasiliensis (rubber tree). The record is from RNAcentral. Lineage: Eukaryota; Viridiplantae; Streptophyta; Magnoliopsida; Malpighiales; Euphorbiaceae.